AUUAAACGCUGGCGGCAUGCCUUACACAUGCAAGUCGAACGGCAGCACGGGGGCAACCCUGGUGGCGAGUGGCGAACGGGUGAGUAAAGCAUCGGAACGUGCCCUGGAGUGGGGGAUAACGUUUCGAAAGGAACGCUAAUACCGCAUACGCCCCAAGGGGGAAAGCGGGGGAUCUUCGGACCUCGUGCUAUAGGAGGAGCCUGCGUCGGAUUAGCUAGUUGGUGAGGUAAAGGCUCACCAAGGCGACGAUCCGUAGCUGGUCUGAGAGGAUGAUCAGCCACACCGGAACUGAGACACGGUCCGGACUCCUACGGGAGGCAGCAGUGGGGAAUAUUGCGCAAUGGGCGAAAGCCUGACGCAGCCAUACCGCGUGUGUGAAGAAGGCCUCGGUUGUAAGCAUUUCAGUGGGAGGAAAGACGU
Molecule: ribosomal RNA, 420 nt
Filed under: uncultured bacterium
Lineage: Bacteria
Description: bacterial SSU rRNA
Rfam family: Bacterial small subunit ribosomal RNA
Source: RNAcentral